GCGCUGGGGCUCAGCGGUAGAGCGCGCGUCUGGCAUGGGUGAGGCCCUGGGUUCGGUCCUCAGCACCACA
RNAcentral lists this transfer RNA (70 nucleotides) under Marmota monax (woodchuck). Its description in RNAcentral is "tRNA.Ala". The record is from RNAcentral. Lineage: Eukaryota; Metazoa; Chordata; Mammalia; Rodentia; Sciuridae.